RNAcentral lists this ribosomal RNA (253 nucleotides) under uncultured bacterium. Its description in RNAcentral is "partial 16S ribosomal RNA". It matches the Rfam family "Bacterial small subunit ribosomal RNA", at positions 524 to 776 of the family's 1533-position model. The record is from RNAcentral.
UACGAAGGGGGCUAGCGUUGCUCGGAAUCACUGGGCGUAAAGGGUGCGUAGGCGGGUCUUUAAGUCAGGGGUGAAAUCCUGGAGCUCAACUCCAGAACUGCCUUUGAUACUGAGGAUCUUGAGUCCGGGAGAGGUGAGUGGAACUGCGAGUGUAGAGGUGAAAUUCGUAGAUAUUCGCAAGAACACCAGUGGCGAAGGCGGCUCACUGGCCCGGUACUGACGCUGAGGUGCGAAAGCGUGGGGAGCAAACGGG